GGGCAGCAGUAGGGAAUUUUCCACAAUGGGCGAAAGCCUGAUGGAGCAACACAGCGUGUAGGAUGAAGGCCUUCGGGUUGUAAACUACUGUUAUAUGGGAAGAAAAACUAGUAUAGGAAAUGAUAUUAGCUUGACGGUACCAUGUCAGAAAGCAACGGCUAACUAUGUGCCAGCAGCCGCGGUAAUACAUAGGUUGCAAGCGUUAUCCGGAAUUAUUGGGCGUAAAGCGUCUGUAGGUUGUUUGUUAAGUCUGGUGUUAAAACUUGGAGCUCAACUCCAAAUUGCAUUGGAUACUGGCAGACUAGAAUUGUUUAGAGGUUAGCGGAAUUCCUUGUGAAGCGGUGGAAUGCGUAGAUAUAAGGAAGAACACCAACAUGGCGAAGGCAGCUAACUGGGAACAUAUUGACACUGAGAGACGAAAGCGUGGGGAGCAAACAGGAUUAGAUACCCUGGUAGUCCACGCUGUAAACGAUGAUGACUAGUUGAUGGAAACCAUCGACGCAGCUAACGCAUUAAGUCAUCCGCCUGAGUAGUAUGCUCGCAAGAGUGAAACUUAAAGGAAUUGACGGGGAUCCGCACAAGCGGUGGAGCAUGUGGUUUAAUUUGAGGAUACGCGUAGAACCUUACCCACUCUUGACAUCUUCUGCAAAGCUAUAGAGAUAUAGUGGAGGUUAACAGAAUGACAGAUGGUGCAUGGUUGUCGUCAGC
Molecule: ribosomal RNA, 708 nt
Filed under: Mycoplasmopsis synoviae
Lineage: Bacteria; Bacillati; Mycoplasmatota; Mycoplasmoidales; Metamycoplasmataceae
Description: bacterial SSU rRNA
Rfam family: Bacterial small subunit ribosomal RNA
Source: RNAcentral